This 212-nucleotide non-coding RNA is filed under the name Gordonia sputi. The record is from RNAcentral. Lineage: Bacteria; Bacillati; Actinomycetota; Actinomycetes; Mycobacteriales; Gordoniaceae.
ACACCGCUGAACGACGGUGGCUGCCCGCGAAGAGGGAAUCCGGUGAGACUCCGGAGCUGACCCGCAGCGGUAUGUCGGAACGACCGCCGUCACACGCACUGGACGAGCCCGCCGCACGGCGGCCGCCGGGAAGCGACGGCCAGUAGAAGCGGGCUCCAUUCCUGGCUCGCACGCCGACGAGCCCGAAGACCUGCCUGCUGCAUCGGAUGCGC